Molecule: ribosomal RNA, 440 nt
Filed under: uncultured bacterium
Lineage: Bacteria
Description: partial 16S ribosomal RNA
Rfam family: Bacterial small subunit ribosomal RNA
Source: RNAcentral
CCUACGGGAGGCAGCAGUGGGGGAUAUUGCACAAUGGGGGAAACCCUGAUGCAGCGACGCCGCGUGAGUGAAGAAGGAUUUCGGUAUGUAAAGCUCUAUCAGCAGGGAAGAAAAUGACAGUACCUGACCAAGAAGCCCCGUCUAACUACGUGACAGCAGCCGCGGUAAUACGUAGGGGGCAAGCGUUAUCCGGAUUUACUGGGGGUAAAGGGGGCGCAGACGGGCAUGCAAGCCAGGAGUGAAAGCCCGGGGCCCAACCCCGGGACUGCUCUUGAAACUGGGUGGCUAGAGUGCAGGAGGGGCAGGCGGAAUUCAUGGUGUAGCGGUGAAAUGCGUAGAUAUCAGGAGGAACACCGAUGGCGAAGGCGGCCUGCUGGACUGCAACUGACGUUGAGGCCCGAAAGCGUGGGGAGCAAACAGGAUUAGAUACCCCUGUAGUC